This 253-nucleotide ribosomal RNA is filed under the name uncultured bacterium. Its description in RNAcentral is "partial 16S ribosomal RNA". It matches the Rfam family "Bacterial small subunit ribosomal RNA", at positions 524 to 776 of the family's 1533-position model. The record is from RNAcentral.
UACGAAGGGGGCUAGCGUUGCUCGGAAUUACUGGGCGUAAAGCGUGCGUAGGCGGUUUGAUAAGUCGGGUGUGAAAGCCCCGGGCUUAACCUGGGAAUUGCAUUCGAUACUGUCUGACUCGAGUCUGGGAGAGGGAAGCGGAAUUCCGGGUGUAGCGGUGAAAUGCGUAGAUAUCCGGAGGAACAUCAGUGGCGAAGGCGGCUUCCUGGCCUAAGACUGACGCUGAGGUACGAGAGCGUGGGGAGCAAACAGG